UACCAGACUCCUACGGGAGGCAGCAGUGGGGAAUAUUGCACAAUGGGGGAAACCCUGAUGCAGCGACGCCGCGUGAGCGAUGAAGUAUUUCGGUAUGUAAAGCUCUAUCAGCAGGGAAGAAAAUGACGGUACCUGACUAAGAAGCCCCGGCUAACUACGUGCCAGCAGCCGCGGUAAUACGUAGGGGGCAAGCGUUAUCCGGAUUUACUGGGUGUAAAGGGAGCGUAGACGGCUGUGCAAGCCAGAUGUGAAAGCCCGGGGCUCAACCCCGGGACUGCAUUUGGAACUGUGUGGCUGGAGUGUCGGAGAGGGAGGCGGAAUUCCUAGUGUAGCGGCGAAAUGCGUAGAUAUUAGGAGGAACACCAGUGGCGAAGGCGGCCUGCUGGACGAUGACUGACGUUGAGGCUCGAAAGCGUGGGGAGCAAACAGGAUUAGAUACCCGAGUAA
This 447-nucleotide ribosomal RNA is filed under the name uncultured bacterium. RNAcentral's name for it is "bacterial SSU rRNA". It matches the Rfam family "Bacterial small subunit ribosomal RNA", at positions 329 to 793 of the family's 1533-position model. The record is from RNAcentral.